GUGAAAUUGUUGAAAGGGAAGCGCUUGCAACCAGACCUGCCUGCAGUUGCUCAUCCGGGCUUUUGCCCGGUGCACUCUUCUGCUGUCAGGCCAGCAUCGGUUCGGGCGGUCGGAUAAAGGCUUCGGGAAUGUAGCUCCUCUCGAGGAGUGUUAUAGCCCGUUGCGAAAUGCGGCCAGCCUGAACUGAGGUCCGCGCUUCGGCUAGGAUGCUGGCGUAAUGGUUGUAAGCGGCCCGUCUUGAAACACGGACCAAGGAGUCUAACAUCUGUGCGAGUGUUUGGGUGUCAAACCCGUACGCGUAAUGAAAGUGAACGGAGGCGGGAACCCCUCGGGGUGCACCGUCGACCGAUCCUGAUGUCUUCGGAUGGAUUUGAGUAAGAGCAUAGCUGUUGGGACCCGAAAGAUGGUGAACUAUGCCUGAAUAGGGUGAAGCCAGAGGAAACUCUGGUGGAGGCUCGCAGCGGUUCUGACGUGCAAAUCGAUCGUCAAAUUUGGGCAUAGGGGCGAAAGACUAAUCGAACUAUCUAGUAGCUGGUUCCUGCCGAAGUUUCCCUCAGGAUAGCAGUAACGUUUUCAGUUUUAUGAGGUAAAGCGAAUGAUUAGAGGCCUGGGGGUUGAAACAACCUUCACCUAUUCUCAAA
This 641-nucleotide ribosomal RNA is filed under the name uncultured Ascomycota. RNAcentral's name for it is "LSU rRNA". It matches the Rfam family "Eukaryotic large subunit ribosomal RNA", at positions 399 to 1062 of the family's 3401-position model. Lineage: Eukaryota; Fungi; Ascomycota. The record is from RNAcentral.